Long non-coding RNA from Girardinichthys multiradiatus, 674 nucleotides. RefSeq lists it as uncharacterized. The record is from RefSeq and is a predicted model, not a curated record. NCBI's taxonomy places the organism in Eukaryota, Metazoa, Chordata, Actinopteri, Cyprinodontiformes, Goodeidae. The transcript is spliced from 3 exons.
UUUCCUGUAUUUCGUGUAGGGGACGGAUUGAGCACUUUAUAUGCUUGAAGGUGGCAUGGAAAUACAGCAAACCAAAGGGAAGAAGAAAAUUUCACUUUUCCUUUUGUCGAAAACACAUGGUAUUGGCUUUUAGUUUGUGGUCAACACCAGUUGAAGAAAAGACUGCCUGUAAUUUAGAUGAGAUGAUGGAAUAAAGGUUUGAGAUUAAGUAGGAGGGGAGGUAUAGAUGUUUUUGGGCUGAAGAACAGGGAGAGGAGGGAGCUUUGUGGUCGGGAGAGUUUGCUUAAAGUGCCUGGCUGUUUUUGCAACGGGUGGCUCAGGAAUGCAACCGCCAACUGCUCAAACAUAUGACAAAGACAGAGAAAGAGAUUGGUCUUGCUCUAUGCAUCGUUACCUUGGUUUCGAAGAAUCUUUGGAAAGACCCAUGGACCGUGAACCUCACCGGACAUCUUACCUUGGCUGGCAUCCCGACUGGAUCAGAGUACCGUUUCAGUUGCGUACCUUGUACACCCUCCUCGAAGGAUUACCUCCCUGGCUCCUGUCGGCACCUCACUCUGGAUCAGCACUCAGUCCUGACGCGUUCUCUUCCUGGCGGAUACCGAAGCCCCACCAUUCAGCCUGGCUUCCUUGUCACCGGACCCUCGUUCCAGUCUUUCAAUAAAAUAACUAAAACG